This 1041-nucleotide long non-coding RNA is filed under the name Vigna radiata. Its description in RNAcentral is "long non-coding RNA (VRAD_LNC008619)". Lineage: Eukaryota; Viridiplantae; Streptophyta; Magnoliopsida; Fabales; Fabaceae. The record is from RNAcentral.
ACAAAACCCAAUAUAUUGCACAUGAUUGUCAUGCUCUCUUUAUAUCAUGAAUUUGCAUGGUAAAACCCUAAAUUAUCAUAACUUAGUUCCUCUUUAGCAUUAAACCCUAUUAUCAUGGGAUAACAUAACAAAUCCAUACAUACUUUCAUAAGGAAAACCUAACACAAACAUGAUAUAACCAUAUCACCUUGCAGAACAUAUUCACAUACAUAUAUAUGCAUCAAAACAACAUUACCUUUCAAGAUAAUCAAGAUCAAACCAUAUUCAUCAUACAAAAAAUCAAGAAAACAAACAAUGGUAAGCUUCCCCAUACCUUGACCAAUACUAGGGCUUUAUCUACAACUCGAAAAUUCCAAAACAAACAAAGGUAAGCUUCCAUUAUUUCACGUUAUUACUAAUUUUUUUCUCCCAAAAUCGCCCCUCUCAUCUCAUUCUCUAUUUUCUCUCUUUGAUUUAGAGUUUUUAGGGUUUCUAGGGUUUCUAAAACACAAAUACCACCCGCCUAUCUAUAUCUUAAUAUUUAUAAAUCAACCAAACUCUAUAUCUUCGUACUUAUAACAAUAUAUUUUAAAAACCAAAUCUGUCUAAAUCUCUAUCUCCCCUUUAUCUAACGUUCACUAUCCACCUUUUUCUUUUAUUUUACUUAAUUCACACCCCUUUUACUUCCUACACCCCCUUAUUUAAUUUCUACAACAAUUAAAUAAAGGUAAAAAACCAUUUUACCCCUAAGCAAAAAUACAAAUAAAACAAAGGUUUCACUUAACUCCCUUUCUUCCUAGAAUUGAACCCACACCCAUUCAAUCCUAAACCAUGCUUCCAUUAACAAGAGAACACAUCACAAUGAUAAUAUCACACACACACACACACACAUAAAUCACCCAAUUAUCAACAUACUAAUCAUGCAUUGCACUUUAUUAAUAAUAACAUGAAAUAAUUAACAUAGCAAUUAUAAUUCUAUAAACACCUAAACCUUCACACCAAUUUUCAAAGAACAAUAUUCAAAUCUCAGAACCACUUAAUUCUCUAGUUACUACAUUUUUC